RNAcentral lists this ribosomal RNA (337 nucleotides) under uncultured Desulfobacter sp. RNAcentral describes it as "bacterial SSU rRNA". It matches the Rfam family "Bacterial small subunit ribosomal RNA", at positions 114 to 437 of the family's 1533-position model. The record is from RNAcentral. Lineage: Bacteria; Pseudomonadati; Thermodesulfobacteriota; Desulfobacteria; Desulfobacterales; Desulfobacteraceae.
CACGUAGAUAAUCUACCUUCGAGCCUGGGAUAACUAUCCGAAAGGGUAGCUAAUACCGGAUAAAGUUGAUUAACAUAAGUUAAUUCAUGAAAGAUAGCCUCUGAUUUAAGCAAUUGUUUGGAGAUGAGUCUGCGGACCAUUAGUUAGUUGGUGGGGUAACGGCCUACCAAGACUGCGAUGGUUAGCUGGUCUGAGAGGAUGAUCAGUCACACUGGAACUGGAACACGGUCCAGACUCCUACGGGAGGCAGCAGUGAGGAAUUUUGCGCAAUGGGGGUAACCCCUGACGCAGCAACGCCGCGUGAGUGAAGAAGGCCUUUGGGUCGUAAAGCUCUGUC